RNAcentral lists this non-coding RNA (22 nucleotides) under Arabidopsis thaliana (thale cress). Lineage: Eukaryota; Viridiplantae; Streptophyta; Magnoliopsida; Brassicales; Brassicaceae. The record is from RNAcentral.
GACGUCCUUGAUGUUGAGUGGU